Molecule: ribosomal RNA, 497 nt
Filed under: uncultured bacterium
Lineage: Bacteria
Description: partial 16S ribosomal RNA
Rfam family: Bacterial small subunit ribosomal RNA
Source: RNAcentral
GAUGAACGCUGGCGGCGUGCCUAAUACAUGCAAGUCGAGCGAACAGACCAGGAGCUUGCUCCUCGGAUGUUAGCGGCGGACGGGUGAGUAACAUGUGGAUAACCCACCUAUAAGACUGGGAUAACUUCGGGAAACCGGAGCUAAUACCGGAUAAUAUAUUGAACCGCAUGGUUGAAUAGUGAAAGACGGUUUUGCUGUCACCUAUAGAUGGAUCCGCGCCGCAUUAGCAAGUUGGUAAGGUAACGGCUUACCAAGGCAACGAUGCGUAGCCGACCUGGGAGGGUGUACGGCCCCUGUGGAGCUGACCCGCGGUCCAGACACCUAGGGGCGGCCCCGGUAGGGAAUCUUCGGCGAUGGGCGGAAGCCUGACGGAUCGGCGCCGCGCUGGUGCUGAAGGUCUGCGGGCCGUAUGACGCUGUUCUUGUUGAAAACCGAAUUUGGAAGUGACUAUGCACUUCGUGACGGUACCUGCACAAGAAGCACCGGCUAACUACGUG